CGCCAAGGCUCCCCGGAGCAAGCCUGUGUGGACCCCCAGGACUAGUCCGGGGCCUGGCCUAAAGACUGGACGCCUCAGAGGACCGGUGAACGGAUGACUAACAGGCACAUCAAAACCUUCAGCACUUGUUCGACCCCUAACCCAGGGCACCCGCCGUGAGCCAGCUGCACUGGGAUAGGAAGCUGAGGCCUAAAGGGGCCCGACAGCGUGCUCGGUGUCGCCAAGAAAGACCGCUCACGGCCUCCAGUAACCUGAGCCGCCCGCAGCCUGAUUGCCAGAGAAGGGCGGUGAGGAGAGAAGGAAGAGAUGUUGGUUCUGCUUAACGCUCAUUAAUUGUCUCGUCAAAUGGAUCCAACAACCUUUCCAUCCAGGCGCUAUUAACCCAUUUAACAGGUGAGAAAACAGAGGCU
This 410-nucleotide long non-coding RNA is filed under the name Equus caballus (horse). RNAcentral's name for it is "lncRNA (ENSECAG00000047890.1)". The record is from RNAcentral. Lineage: Eukaryota; Metazoa; Chordata; Mammalia; Perissodactyla; Equidae.